AAUUGAGAGUUUGAUCCUGGCUCAGGACGAACGCUGGCGGCGUGCUUAACACAUGCAAGUCGAACGGAAAGGCCCUGCUUUUGUGGGGUGCUCGAGUGGCGAACGGGUGAGUAACACGUGAGUAACCUGCCCUUGACUUUGGGAUAACUUCAGGAAACUGGGGCUAAUACCGGAUAGGAGCUCCUGCUGCAUGGUGGGGGUUGGAAAGUUUCGGCGGUUGGGGAUGGACUCGCGGCUUAUCAGCUUGUUGGUGGGGUAGUGGCUUACCAAGGCUUUGACGGGUAGCCGGCCUGAGAGGGUGACCGGC
Molecule: ribosomal RNA, 307 nt
Filed under: Striatella unipunctata
Lineage: Eukaryota; Bacillariophyta; Striatellaphyceae; Striatellales; Striatellaceae
Description: partial Bacterial small subunit ribosomal RNA
Rfam family: Bacterial small subunit ribosomal RNA
Source: RNAcentral